AUGGUGGACCCGGUGGGCUUCGCCGAGGCGUGGAAGGCGCAGUUCCCGGACUCGGAGCCGCCGCCCAUGGAGCUGCGCUCGGUGGGCGACAUUGAACAGGAGCUGGAGCGCUGCAAGGCCUCCAUCCGGCGCCUGGAGCAAGAGGUGAACCAGGAGCGCUUCCGCAUGAUCUACCUGCAGACGCUGCUGGCCAAGGAGAAGAAGAGCUACGACCGACAGCGCUGGGGCUUCCGGCGCGCGGCGCAGCCCCCCGACGGCGCCGCCGAGCCCCGCGCGCCGCGCCCCCAGCCCGCGCCAGCCGACUGCGCCGACCCGCCGACCGCCGACGAGCCCGAGGCCCGGCUCGACGGGAAGGGCUCCCCGGGCAAGGCCAGGCCCGCGGCCACGCGCAGGCCCGGGGCCUCCGCUCCCGCGGACCGCGACGACCGCGGGCCCCCCACCAGCGUGGCGGCCCUGCGUUCCAAUUUCGAGAGGAUCCGCAAGGGCCCCGUCCAGCCGGCGGCGGCGGACGCCGAGAAACCCUUCUACGUGAACGUCGAGUUCCACCACGAGCGCGGCCUGGUGAAGGUCAACGACAAAGACGUGUCGGACCGCAUAAGCUCCCUGGGCAGCCAGGCCAUGCAGAUGGAGCGCAAGAAGUCCCAGCAGGGCGCUGGGCCCGGCCCUGGGGACCCGCCCAGGCCCUCCUACCGCGGGCGCCUCUCCGAGAGCAGCUGCGGCCUCGACGGCGACUUUGAGGACGUGGAGCUGAACCCGCGCUUCCUGAAGGACAACCUGAUCAACGCCAAUGGCGGCGGCAGGCCCCCCUGGCCGCCCCUGGAGUACCAGCCCUACCAGAGCAUCUAUGUCGGGGGCAUGAUGGUGGAAGGGGAGGGCAAGGGCUCGCUCCAGCGCAGCCAGAGCACCUCGGAGCAGGAGAAGCGCCUUACCUGGCCCCGGAGGUCCUACUCCCCUCGGAGCUUUGAGGACAGCGGAGGCGGCUACACCCCGGACUGCAGCUCCAACGAGAACCUCACGUCCAGCGAGGAGGACUUCUCCUCGGGUCAGUCCAGCCGCGUGUCCCCGAGCCCCACCACCUACCGCAUGUUCCGGGACAAGAGCCGCUCACCCUCGCAGAACUCCCAGCAAUCCUUCGACAGCAGCAGCCCCCCCACGCCCCAGUGCCAGAAGCGGCACCGGCAGGGACCGGUGGUCGUGUCCGAGGCCACCAUCGUGGGCGUCCGCAAGACGGGGCAGAUCUGGCCCAGCGAUGGGGACAGCUUGUCCAGCAGGCUGCUUCAAGACGGCACCUUCCAUGGAGACGCAGAUGCACCAUUCGGGACGCCGCCGGGGUACAGCUGUGCCACGGACCGGGCCGAGGAGCAGCGCCGGCACCAGGACGGGCUGCCCUACGUGGAUGACUCACCCUCCUCCUCGCCCCACCUCGGCAGCAAGGGCAGGGGCAGCCGGGACGCACCGGAGUCCACCAAAGUGAGUGAGCUGGACUUGGAAAAGGGCUCGGAGAUGAGGAAAUGGGUCCUGUCUGGAAUCCUAGCUAGCGAGGAGACUUACCUGAGCCACCUGGAGGCGCUGCUGCUGCCCAUGAAACCUUUGAAGGCUGCUGCCACCACCUCUCAGCCGGUGCUGACGAGCCAGCAGAUCGAGACCAUCUUCUUCAAAGUGCCUGAGCUCUAUGAGAUCCACAAGGAGUUCUACGACGGGCUCCUCCCCCGCCUGCAGCAGUGGAGCCACCAGCAGCGCGUGGGCGACCUAUUCCAGAAGCUGGCCAGCCAGCUGGGUGUGUACCGGGCCUUUGUGGACAACUACGGAGUUGCCAUGGAAACGGCUGAGAAGUGCUGUCAGGCCAACGCUCAGUUUGCAGAAAUCUCUGAGAACCUGAGAGCCAGAAGCAACAAGGAUGCCAAGGACCAAACGACCAAGAACUCUCUGGAAACCCUGCUCUACAAGCCUGUGGACCGGGUCACGAGGAGCACACUGGUCCUGCAUGACUUGCUGAAACACACCCCCUCUGGCCACCCCGACCACCUGCUGCUGCAAGACGCCCUCCGCAUCUCGCAGAACUUCCUGUCCAGCAUUAACGAGGAGAUCACGCCCCGCCGGCAGUCCAUGACCGUGAAGAAGGGAGAGCACCGGCAGCUGCUGAAGGACAGCUUCAUGGUGGAGUUGGUGGAGGGGGCCCGCAAGCUGCGGCACGUCUUCCUCUUCACUGACCUGCUCCUGUGCACCAAGCUCAAGAAGCAGAGCGGAGGCAAAACGCAGCAAUAUGACUGCAAAUGGUACAUCCCGCUCACGGAUCUCAGCUUCCAGACAGUAGACGACUCGGAGGCCGCACCCAACAUCCCCUUGGUGCUGGAUGAGGAGCUGGAUGCCAUGAAGAUCAAGAUCUCCCAGAUCAAGAGUGACAUCCAGAGAGAGAAGAGAGCGAACAAGGGCAGCAAGGCCAUCGAGAGGCUGAGGAAGAAGCUCUCGGAGCAGGAGUCGCUGCUCUUGCUCAUGUCCCCCAGCAUGGCCUUCCGCGUGCACAGCCGCAACGGCAAGAGUUACACGUUCCUGAUCUCAUCCGACUAUGAGCGGGCCGAGUGGAGGGAGAACAUCCGGGAGCAGCAGAAGAAAUGUUUCAAGAGUUUCUCCCUGACGUCCGUGGAGCUGCAGAUGCUGACCAACUCGUGCGUCAAGCUUCAGACCGUCCACAGCAUCCCACUGACCAUCAACAAAGAAGAUGAUGAAUCUCCCGGGCUCUACGGGUUCCUGAAUGUCAUCGUCCACUCCGCCACUGGCUUUAAGCAGAGUUCUAGUCUGUACUGCACCCUGGAGGUGGAUUCCUUUGGCUACUUUGUAAAUAAAGCCAAGACACGCGUCUACAGGGACACGGCUGAGCCCAACUGGAAUGAGGAGUUUGAGAUCGAGCUGGAAGGCUCACAGACCUUGAGGAUACUGUGCUACGAGAAGUGUUACAACAAAAGCAAGAUCACCAAGGAGGACGGCGAGAGUGCAGACAGGAUCAUGGGGAAGGGCCAGGUACAGCUGGACCCCCAGGCCCUGCAGGACAGAGAGUGGCAGCGGACCAUCAUCGCCAUGAAUGGGAUUGAAGUGAAGUUGUCAGUCAAGUUCACCAGCAGAGAGUUCAGCUUGAAGAGGAUGCCUUCCCGAAAACAGACGGGCGUCUUCGGAGUCAAGAUCGCUGUGGUCACCAAGAGGGAGCGUUCCAAGGUGCCCUACAUCGUGCGCCAGUGCGUGGAGGAGAUCGAACGCCGGGGCAUGGAGGAAGUGGGCAUCUACCGCGUGUCCGGAGUGGCCACCGACAUCCAGGCACUGAAGGCGGCUUUUGACGUCAACAACAAGGACGUGUCAGUGAUGAUGAGCGAGAUGGACGUGAAUGCCAUUGCCGGGACGCUGAAGCUCUACUUCCGAGAGCUGCCUGAGCCCCUCUUUACCGACGAGUUCUACCCCAACUUCGCCGAGGGCAUCGCUCUCUCAGACCCCGUGGCAAAGGAGAGCUGCAUGCUUAACCUGCUGCUGUCACUCCCGGAGGCCAACCUGCUGACAUUCCUCUUCCUUCUGGACCACCUGAAAAGGGUGGCAGAAAAGGAGACAGUGAACAAGAUGUCCCUGCACAACCUCGCCACGGUGUUCGGCCCCACGCUGCUCCGGCCCUCAGACAAGGAGAGCAAGCUCCCUGCCAACCCCAGCCAACCCAUCUCCAUGACCGACAGCUGGUCCCUGGAGGUCAUGUCCCAGGUCCAGGUGCUGCUGUACUUCCUGCAGCUGGAGGCCAUUCCUGCCCCAGACAGCAAGAGACAGAGCAUCCUCUUCUCCACCGAAGUCUAAAGGCCCAACUCCACCUCCAAGAUGCCGGCAGAACGGCCUGGGAACCUCCUAGGGAAACGGGCAAUCCACAGAGCGGGAACCGAACCUUCUAGAGGAGUCAUUAGGCCACCCCCCAGGGCCAGGCUGCUGCCAAGAGACAACUACCCAAGGCAAAAGGCCAAGUGGCCUGGACAGUUCCAGGCCCCCCUCCGGUGGGGCCUGAGAACCCUGGGCUGGCCUCAGACUGUGGUUUUCUACGCCACCACCAGAGGGCGCCCCAAGCCAGCCCUCGUGUCUCCGGUCACGGGCCUGGGCGGGACCAGGCAAAGGGAGUGGUUUUUACGAAUUUAACAUAUGAGAGUUCAAAGAUUUCUACUGGAUCACCUGUCGAGAUGCACCCUCUCCAGGGAGAAGGGAACAGGAGCAGAUUCCCUCGAUUCAGAUCCCUAAUAAGAUGUUAGAAUGUACUCUGUGGACAAUCUGUGUCCCAGCGGCAUCUCGUCUUCCUCUGAGCGCCAGCUCUGUUUCCAUCAGGAGCCAUUUCUGAAGUCUUCUGAGCAUCUGGAAUUGGGGGGCGGGGAUUAGGAACAGGCUGGGCCGAGGGUAGGGGCUCCCAUCCCGAAGCAGGUGGAGAGACAGAGCCCCCCCAUGCUCCACACACCUGUGCGGAAGCCAGGAUGUGCCUGGUAACCCUCCUGACCAUCUGACUUGGAGGAAAGAGAACUGGGGAAACCACUAAGUAUUUUGAAGAAACAAGUCUGUGAAGAAUUGCAUCACUUUUUUUAAAAAAGGGAUGGGGGCGAGGAGAGAAGAAACUUCCAUGCUGGACUUGCAGGAAGAGAGGAUGUAGCUGAACCGGAGGAGGGAAGUGGUGGCAUGACUCAGGAAAAGGCGUUUGCUUGUCACGCGAUUAGACCAGUAACAGGUGGCACUGUCCAGGACCCUUCCCGUGUCCCUGGCGGGGUGGGAAGGCUCAGCUGGUGUGUCAGCGGGCAGCUCCUGCCCAAGGUCGCGGCACACAGGGGGCCACGUGCCCCCCCCCCCACUCUACCCUCUGCUCGCGGACCUGCCAAGGCAGGGACGGAAAAAGAAGUCACUCGAAGGUCUUAAGUCUGCAUGUUGUAUUUAUUUAGUUGUACUUUUUUCUCGUGAGGAGAGCAGACCCACCGUUUUAAAGCAGUGCUGCUCUCCUGGGGGAUGAGGGCAGGGAGCAGGGUCCUCUGUGCUUUGCAUGUCUCUGGGAUCCAUGGGUUUCCCAGGCCUCCAGUCCCUGGCCUCUUCUGGCCUGGCUUCCCAUCCCCGUCUGGCUCUACAGGGGAAACACACUUUACUUAGAAAAGCUAGACCUGGCCCCGGUUUCUUUUUCCCUGGAGUCUCAUGAUUUGCGUCUGUCGCAUUGAAACUGGAAAGCAAUCUCUCAGUGUCUGUGCCAAUUUUCGUUCCCUCCCCCCAUCUCCUUCCUCUGUUUGCUUUUUAUUUAUGUAGGAUGCGUGGUGUUUAGUGAUGGAAUGACCACUCUUUCUUGUUCA
This is an RNA transcript of Balaenoptera musculus (blue whale), 5336 nucleotides long. It is a transcript of the gene named BCR activator of RhoGEF and GTPase, with no coding region annotated. The record is from RefSeq and is a predicted model, not a curated record. The transcript has 24 exons. NCBI's taxonomy places the organism in Eukaryota, Metazoa, Chordata, Mammalia, Artiodactyla, Balaenopteridae.